ACUGACGCUGAUAGACGAAAGCGUGGGGAGCGAACAGGAUUAGAUACCCUGGUAGUCCACGCAGUAAACUAUGGGCACUAGUUUUUGGCGAUAGACAGUCAGAGACAAAGCGAAAGCGUUAAGUGCCCCACCUGGGGAUUACGUUCGCAAGAAUGAAACUCAAAGGAAUUGACGGGGGCCCGCACAAGCGGAGGAACAUGUGGUUUAAUUCGAUGAUACGCGAGGAACCUUACCUGGGCUUAAAUGCUAGGCGUCUUCGGGCGUAGUCUGUAGAAAUACAGCUUAAACUUGCAAGGUGCUGCAUGGUUGUCGUCAGCUCGUGCCGUGAGGUGUCGGGUUAAGUCCCAUAACGAGCGCAACCCACAUUCUUAGUUGCCAUCAAAUAACGUUGGGCACUCUAGGAAAACUGCCAUCGUCACACUCUGAGGAACGGUGUGGAUGACGUCAAAUCAGCACGGCCCUUAUGUCCAGGGCUACACACGUGUUACAAUGGUCGGUACAAAAGGCAGCGACCUGGUAACAGAGAGCUAAUCUUAAAAACCGGCCUCAGUUCGGAUUGGAGUCUGCAAUUCGACUCCAUGAAGUCGGAUUCGCUAGUAACCGCGCAUCAGCAAUGACGCGGUGAAUACGUUCCCGGGCGUGUACACACCGCCCGUCAAGCCAUGGAA
Molecule: ribosomal RNA, 668 nt
Filed under: uncultured organism
Description: bacterial SSU rRNA
Rfam family: Bacterial small subunit ribosomal RNA
Source: RNAcentral